AUUGAACGCUGGCGGCAGGCCUAACACAUGCAAGUCGAGCGGAUGAAGGGAGCUUGCUCCUGGAUUCAGCGGCGGACGGGUGAGUAAUGCCUAGGAAUCUGCCUGGUAGUGGGGGAUAACGUCCGGAAACGGGCGCUAAUACCGCAUACGUCCUGAGGGAGAAAGCGGGGGAUCUUCGGACCUCACGCUAUCAGAUGAGCCUAGGUCGGAUUAGCUAGUUGGUGGGGUAAAGGCCUACCAAGGCGACGAUCCGUAACUGGUCUGAGAGGAUGAUCAGUCACACUGGAACUGAGACACGGUCCAGACUCCUACGGGAGGCAGCAGUGGGGAAUAUUGGACAAUGGGCGAAAGCCUGAUCCAGCCAUGCCGCGUGUGUGAAGAAGGUCUUCGGAUUGUAAAGCACUUUAAGUUGGGAGGAAGGGCAGUAAGUUAAUACCUUGCUGUUUUGACGGUACCAACAGAAUAAGCACCGGCUAACUUCGUG
This 484-nucleotide ribosomal RNA is filed under the name uncultured bacterium. RNAcentral describes it as "partial 16S ribosomal RNA". It matches the Rfam family "Bacterial small subunit ribosomal RNA", at positions 30 to 507 of the family's 1533-position model. The record is from RNAcentral.